Molecule: RNA transcript, 4979 nt
Organism: Populus trichocarpa (black cottonwood)
Lineage: Eukaryota; Viridiplantae; Streptophyta; Magnoliopsida; Malpighiales; Salicaceae
Gene name: KIN17-like protein
Exons: 4
Source: RefSeq, a predicted model, not a curated record
GUUCUUUAACCACAGAAAAGCAACGACCCGUAACUCCUUUAACCUUUUUAGAGGCGAAGUGUUUAAUUUUGAUUUAGAUCUUAACAUAAAUGUGAGUAUUCUUCUAGAAGCGAAGCUAAACUGUGUAUUAUUAUUAUAUUAUUAUUAUUAUUAUUUUACAGGUAAUUCUGUAAUCCCAAUUCAAUCUAUCAAACCCUAAAGAAAAUGGGGAAGAACGAUUUCCUUACACCGAAAGCGAUAGCGAAUCGAAUCAAAGCGAAAGGUCUUCAGAAACUUCGAUGGUAUUGUCAGAUGUGUCAAAAACAAUGUCGAGACGAGAACGGAUUCAAGUGCCACUGUAUGAGCGAAAGCCACCAACGGCAAAUGGAAGUCUUCGGUCAAAACCCUAACAGAAUCGUCGACGGCUAUUCUGAAGAAUUCGAAAACGAGUUCCUCGAUUCGAUGAAACGGAGCCAUAGGUUUUCUCGUGUCGCGGCGACCGUGAUUUACAAUGAGUAUAUUCAUGACAGGCACCAUAUUCAUAUGAAUUCGACACAGUGGGCGACGUUGACGGAGUUUGUUAAGCAUCUGGGGAGAACUGGAAAGUGUAAAGUCGAUGAGACUCCGAAAGGGUGGUUUAUGACUUAUAUUGAUAGGGAUUCGGAGACGAUUUUUAAGGAGAAUGCGAAGAGUAAGAGAGUCAGGGCGGAUUUAGCAGAGGAGGAGAAGCAGGAGAGGGAAAUUAAAAAGCAGAUUGAGAAGGCUGAAGAGUUUUUGACUGUUAAAAAUGACAGUGUGGAUAGUGGUGAAGUGCGGCCAGCGAAGGAGUUGAAAUUGGACAGCGGGGUGAAGGUUGGGUUUGCCCUUGGUUCGAAGAGUAAUAAUGUUGGGAAAGAGACAGGUGAGAGUUUUAGUUCUAGAUUGGUUUUUGAGGAAGUUGAGGAUAAGGAGAGGAAGAUGGGGAAAAAUAAGGAAGGUGGUAUUGGAGGUAAAAGUGGGAAAUCGGCGUUGGAGGAGUUGAUGAAAGAGGAAGAGAAGGCAAAGGAGAGGACUAAUAGAAAGGAUUAUUGGUUGUUUGAAGGGAUUAUCGUUAAGGUUAUGAGUAAGGCGUUGGCAGAGAAAGGGUAUUAUAAGCAGAAAGGGGUAGUGAGGAAAGUGAUUGAUAAGUAUGUUGCUGAAAUUGAGAUUCUUGAGAAUAAGCAUAAGUUGAGGGUUGAUCAGGAAGAGCUUGAGACUGUGAUUCCGCAGAUUGGGGGUUUGGUGAAAAUAGUGAAUGGGGCAUAUAGAGGUUCAAAUGCCAGGUUGUUGGGAGUGGAUACGGAGAAGUUUUGUGCCAAGGUGCAGAUAGAGAAGGGAAUUUAUGACGGGAGAGUGCUUAAGGCUGUUGAAUACGAGGAUAUUUGCAAACUUGCCUAAUGUGAUUUUAUUGAAGGAUCUUAUUUGCUUGCCCUACAACAACAAUGGAAAAUUCUACCUUCCAAGACAGCAGCUGACCUCCUUAUUUCUGCCAGGAUUAAUGACAGGCCCAUCAUCCUUUAACCACAAGAAAAUCCUUAUGGAUGGGAAUUUGGAGCACUGAACUGUAGUGCUGGGGGAACUGAGUCCACAAAUUUCCCACCAUACAGCUUUUUUUCCGGGAAUAAUAGGUCCUUUGUCUUCCCUAUUUGAAAACUUGGGUACCAUUUUUUUUGUUACAAGGGAGAUUGAUUGUCCACCCAGGUCAGACAUACUUUAUUCUACUGGUGCUUCCUCUAAUCAAAACGCAUCAUAGAGACAUUUUUGCUCCCUGAUUAAGUCAUUAAACAUCUCGAAUGUGUUUAGCAUUGUGCUGAUUAUUGAAACUUCCUACAUUGCUUACUACGUGGACCGCCUACAUUGAACCCUGUUAAUGUUUUAGUGGCCUUUAAGUGAAGUAUGGCUUUGGCGCUGGUUUGGUUUUUCAAGUCCUGAAGUUUUCCAUGUCUUUCUUGAAGAAUUUUUGCUGUCCUUAUUUCAAAUGGUGGCUUAUAAAAUCGUGGUUUCUCUCUAAAAAUGGUCACUUGUUCAGAUUACAUGACCAAGGUCAUCAGUGGUUAGGUUUCACAUUUCAAAACAUUGUUGCAGGCUAUGUUUCUUCUACCCAGACCAGACAUGCUUUAUGCUUCUGGUGCCUCCACUGCUUCAAAUGCAUCAUUUGUACUUUUUUACACCUUGAUUAGCCACAUAACCUUGCUCUCAAAUGUGUCUAGGAUUGUUCUCAUUAUUGAAACUUCUUACUUUGCUUGAUAUGUGAACUACCCUCUUUGCACCCUGUUAGUGGUGACCUUCAAAAGAAUAUCAACUUUCGCACUGUCCAGCUGAAGUUAUAAUUCCAUGUCUUUCUUGAGGAAUUUUUGCUGUCCAGAUGCACAUGGUGGCUUAUCAAAUCCCAUACAGGCCUCUCUUUAAUAUUGUGACUUGUGCAGAUUACACAACUGAGAUCAUCUCUGGAUAAGUUUCACAUUGCAAAACAGACUGUUGUAGCCAAUGUUUUUCUUGUCGUUACAAGGGAGAGCAAAUCAUCCAAACAGGCCAGACAUGCUUAAUGCUUCUAGUGCUUCCACUACUUCAAAUGCAUCAUAGAGACAUUUUGCGCUCUGAUUUAGCCAUGUAACCUUGCUCUCAAAUGCUUUUAGGAUUGUGCUGAUUAUUGGAACUUCCUACAUUGCUUGAUGAAAAGCGGAGGUAGGCCUGGUGAGGUUGUUUGGAGGAUGUGACAAUUAAGAGGAUGAGAUUUCUUUUGCCAAGAUGUAGCGAGUUUAGGUAGGUAACAGAUAGGGUUCUCCGUACUCCCAGCACCCUGUUGAUGGUUCCAAGCAUCAAGCACAGAAAUGUGCUUUGGUUAUCAAAUUCAUCUGUUUUCUGCGAUCUCAUUCAAUUCCUAUAAAGUUUAGAGGCCUAGUGGAUGUGAUCAUUGUUUUUUUUUUUUUUUUCCUGAGUGUUGAACAUAAAUGUCUUGAUCUAUAACAGUGUUAAGUUGCACUCCCGAUGCUGACCAAUAUCUGAUUGGAUGGUGAGAAUUAGCUAUUCACACAGAAUUAGCUAUUCAAACAGAAUCUCAUUAUCGUGAUUUUUAAUUCUUAGAUUGAGAGCACUUGUCCAUGACAGUGGAAAAAAGUUCAAAAAUUUCAUCCCACAAGUUUGAAUGACUUUUUCUUCUUCUUUAUUCUCUCAUAUAUUUACCAUUCAUAAUCAAAAUAAUGUUCUUUCCUUCAGUUAUUAUAUGGCUCUAAGUUGCUAUACUAUACUCUAAGGGAAAUUUGUAAUACUGAUGCAUAUGGGCAACUACAAAUGUUCCAAUACUGGGUUCUAUGUGAUUGAAAUAUUUAAAAGAUUUAGUGGAUGAACACUGAUCCCUCACCCUCUUAAAUUGCGCAAAAAGUGGGAAAUGGUGAUUGGAAAAGUUGAUGGGGGAGGACAUUAAGGCAUGAUGAGAUAAUAGGAAGGACUUUAAGUUGUGUAAAGAUGCUGUUGCUAAGGUGAUGAGAUUGAUGGCAGAGUGGUACCACAAGCAGAAGGGGUAAUGAGGAAAAAGUUCCAAAAGGUACAUGAUACAAAGUGAAGCUAUUGAUCAGGAAGUGCUUGAGUUGUGGUUCUGCUGAUUGGAGAGAGGGUCCAGUUCGAGGUUGUUAGGAGUGGUUGAAAAUUAAGUUUUGUGCCAAGGUGCAGAUAGAGAAGGGGAUUUUAGCACGUGAGAAUGCUCAAGACAGAGCAUGAGGGUAUACACAGACUUGCGUAGUGAGUUUAAUGCAUAUUUUACUUUCGUGGCUGCACUGGCUUUCUAAGAUUGUUGUAAUUUUUAGUCUCCUCUGGCAUAUGUGAUGCUCAUUUUAUGGUUUUGUAUCUCUCCAGAUUUGAUGAUGACUCAGAAGAAUGUUUAUUGAAGAAUGCUUCUAUUAUCACCAUAAAAAUUGCAUGUAAGAUGAUAACUUGAAGUUCUGGAAUUGUCUGUGAUUGGAAAUUUUUCCGAGUAUGAUUACUGAUUGAUUUGUAACACAUUGACCUUAAGAAUUAUGAUACUUGACUGAUAGACAUGCAGUUGAACAACACCCACUAGUCAGGUUGCCAAGUAGUAUGAGUAAUUUUUGAUAGAGAGAAAGAAGCAGAAAUAAAAUGGUGAAUCUUCUGAAGGUUUUCCCCCCUGAGGUCAGAAAGAAACAGUUGAGAAUGAUAUUCUUAAGAGGCAAAAUCCAUAAAAGAAAGUUCUGGAGAGUUUUCUUUAGGUUUUCCCUGUAAAUUGCAGAUUGUAAAUCACUAGUGGAAACUAUUCAUUUAAGAAGCUAAAGCUAGAGAAUGUCAUUUGCAUUCCUUUUUAUCUUUGGUCGUGUUGUUUUACAGACGCGGUCUGUGAAGGGGGAGCGGGGAGCUUGUUAUAGUUGAGAGAUGUUACCCUUCCAAUUUUUCAGAGGAAGAUGGUCUUUGAAAUCCCUGUUCAACUCAUUUUUUCUUCUCCAACUUUGGUCCUGGGCUUAUGAAAGCGGCUACCAGGAUCCAAGCCACCAAGAUCUGGAAAACUUUCCCAAAAGAAGCUUUGCAUCAGUUAGUAUAAAGAUUAGGAAAAAAAAAAAGUUUUCCUGGAAUUGCUCUUAGAAUAGGCUGCAACUGGUGCUCAAAAUGCUGUGUUCUUGGAAUAGGCUGCAGCUGUUGCUAAAAAAUGCUUGAGUUCUUUGAAUGGUGAGGGAAAAAUAUAGCUGUUGCUUCAUGUUGGGUGUUAGUUGUAAUCUUGACAGCACCAUCAAGUGUUUGGAAAGAAGAAUUAUAGCUGCUGAUUCAUGUUGUGUGUUUUGCUGUAAUCUUGUUGCCACCAUUAAUGCCCCUGUAAGAUGUCAACUAUUCUUGGUUUUUCCUUCUGUACAAAUUGAACGUAGAAGUGCAUCGUAAAAGGUUUUUGUUCCUCAAACAUGAUAUGAUUUGUCUUAUGUCUGCAAUGUUACUUGAUUUAGAGUUGUUCAAUGAAAAUGAAAUAACUUGUUUCUACCGAA